Molecule: ribosomal RNA, 748 nt
Filed under: uncultured delta proteobacterium
Lineage: Bacteria; Deltaproteobacteria
Description: bacterial SSU rRNA
Rfam family: Bacterial small subunit ribosomal RNA
Source: RNAcentral
AGAGUUUGAUCCUGGCUCAGAAUGAACGCUGGCGGCGUGCCUAACACAUGCAAGUCGUACGAGAAAUCCCGAGCUUGCUUGGGAGAGUAAAGUGGCGCACGGGUGAGUAACGCGUGGGUAACCCACCUUCGAAUCUGGGAUAACUCCGCGAAAGCGGUGCUAAUACCGGAUAAGACCACAGCCGUUUCGGCGGCAGAGGUAAAAGCUGACCUCUCCAUGGAAGUUAGCGUUCGAAGACGGGCCCGCGUCCUAUCAGCUUGUUGGUGGGGUAAAGGCCUACCAAGGCAGCGACGGGUAGCUGGUCUGAGAGGAUGAUCAGCCACACUGGAACUGGAACACGGUCCAGACUCCUACGGGAGGCAGCAGUGAGGAAUUUUGCGCAAUGGGGGAAACCCUGACGCAGCAACGCCGCGUGGGUGAAGAAGGCUUUCGGGUCGUAAAGCCCUGUCAGGUGGGAAGAAACUCUUCAGUACUAAUAAUGCUGAAGCCUGACGGUACCACCAGAGGAAGCACCGGCCAACUCCGUGCCAGCAGCCGCGGUAAUACGGAGGGUGCAAGCGUUGUUCGGAAUUAUUGGGCGUAAAGAGCGUGUAGCGGCUUGGUAAGUCAGAUGUGAAAGCCCUGGGCUCAACCCAGGAAGUGCAUUUGAAACUACCAGACUUGAGUACGGAGAGGAGGGGGGAAUUCCCGGUGUAGAGGUGAAAUUCGUAGAUAUCGGGAGGAUACCGUUGGCGAAGCGCCCCUCUGG